UGGCUUGAUCCACAUCCUACAUGAAGAUAAAGCUGAAUUGAAGGAGAGUCUGAUUGACCUUUGUUUUGGCUGAGGCAUGGAAAUUCACAGUUACAGAGAGCAGUAGUGGAGAAGAAGAAGAACAACCACCUGCCAAAACCUCCAGACUUUUCUCUGGCUACCGCAACAAGAUCAGUGUAACGGCUCUCGUUGGUGGUAGAAGUGGACCAAGGCGCAGCGUGGUAAGUGUUCAUGAUACUUUUAUUCACAAAAACACUUCAACAAAAUACCAAAGUAACAAUCCGAAAGCGCACAGUUCUGUCAUGCACAGAUACUAAACAGAAAACAAGAUCCCACAAACUCAUGUGGAAAACAGGCUGCCUAAGUAUGAUUCCCAAUCAGAGACAAUGAUAGACAGCUGCCUCUGAUUGGGAACCACACUGGCCCAAAAACAAAGAAACAGAAAACAGAAUUUCCC
Molecule: long non-coding RNA, 457 nt
Filed under: Salmo salar (Atlantic salmon)
Lineage: Eukaryota; Metazoa; Chordata; Actinopteri; Salmoniformes; Salmonidae
Description: lncRNA (ENSSSAG00000095009.1)
Source: RNAcentral